RNAcentral lists this ribosomal RNA (85 nucleotides) under Dasymutilla foxi. Its description in RNAcentral is "partial 5.8S ribosomal RNA". It matches the Rfam family "5.8S ribosomal RNA", at positions 9 to 95 of the family's 154-position model. From Rfam's summary of the family: 5.8S ribosomal RNA (5.8S rRNA) is a component of the large subunit of the eukaryotic ribosome. It is transcribed by RNA polymerase I as part of the 45S precursor that also contains 18S and 28S rRNA. The record is from RNAcentral. Lineage: Eukaryota; Metazoa; Arthropoda; Insecta; Hymenoptera; Mutillidae.
ACGGUGGAUCACUUGGCUCGUGGGUCGAUGAAGAACGCAGCUAAUUGCGCGUCAACUUGUGAACUGCAGGACACUUGAACAUCGA